RNAcentral lists this long non-coding RNA (839 nucleotides) under Phasianus colchicus (ring-necked pheasant). RNAcentral describes it as "lncRNA (ENSPCLG00000008452.1)". Lineage: Eukaryota; Metazoa; Chordata; Aves; Galliformes; Phasianidae. The record is from RNAcentral.
AGGGUUUCCCUGCUGGCUGCCCUUCCCCUGGUGCUGAUCAGUGAGGCAGGCUGCGAUCUGGUCCUCUCACUCCAAUGGCACAGAGCUAUUUCAGAGCAGCCAGGACCUGCCCAUGCUGCACCCUGUGGGAGUGAGGGUGUUUUAUAAAGUGCAGGAAGCCAUGUGAAAACCAACACCAAGCAGGGCUGCCAUGGAAGAGGAGCAAGCAGAGCAGAGUGUUACAAGGCUCCUACACGCUUUCCCAGGCGAAGACCUCUCUGCUCCUUCUGCAUUUUCAUUCUCGUGUUGGCCUCUGCCCACUGAAUAACAACAGUAAUUGGAUGUGUUUGAAUAGUGCUGCUCAUUGUUUGGCUGUUUCUGGAAUCUCCUGCUGGCGAAAUUAUUCCCCACAAAAUCCCUAUCUGGAGGGUUAGGAAAGGGUUAGCAACAUGCCUUCCCAUUUGGGAACACAGCAGCUGGAUGUGACAGAGCAUCUCGUGUAGCUUUGGACUGAUGUCAGUAACCCAGAAGUUCUACUGCUCAGCUCAUCUCACAAGCUGAACCCUGGUGGUCAGUUCCCCCCCCACCUCAAGCCCUCAUCCAGCCCCCUGGGUUUCUCCAUGCCUAGAAUGUCACUAAGGACAAUCCUGCUUCCUGCAGCAGGGAGGAGGGCUGUGUUACCACCAAUGGGGUGUCAGACUCCCAGCAAGGACUCAAGGUAAACAGUUCAGCUUUGGUGCUUUAUUUGAAAGUUGCUGCUUGUGUUCCAGAGCUCGUGUGCCUGAGAGAUUGUCUGUGAUUUUAUGUAUCUUUCCUGGCUGUAUCAGUUGCUCCAAUAAAAGAUACCCCUUUCCUUACCA